AUGCCGUCGUGGCCGUUCCCCUCACUGGAAUCCGCCAGCCGCCGCCCUUCAAUCCGCUACCUCCAGAGCAUCCCCGACCUCUCCCUUGCAUCUGUUUGCCUCUGGACCCCGAGACUGCCGGCGAACUCCAGUUCGACUACGGUGUUGACGACUGCUCUCUCUUGCCAGAGCAACCAGACGUUGGAGCCCAGGAGCCAGAUGCCACUGUCGACGAUGACUUCUACUACUCGGGAGGUGCCUACUACUACCUGCAGCCCGUUGACGGCGAUCAGGAGUAGUUUAGGAGGAUCCCAGGCAGGAGGCUUGUGCCUCUUUUGA
RNAcentral lists this ribosomal RNA (318 nucleotides) under Triticum aestivum (bread wheat). Its description in RNAcentral is "partial small subunit ribosomal RNA". The record is from RNAcentral. Lineage: Eukaryota; Viridiplantae; Streptophyta; Magnoliopsida; Poales; Poaceae.